This 247-nucleotide ribosomal RNA is filed under the name uncultured bacterium. RNAcentral describes it as "partial 16S ribosomal RNA". It matches the Rfam family "Bacterial small subunit ribosomal RNA", at positions 523 to 769 of the family's 1533-position model. The record is from RNAcentral.
AUACGUAGGUGGCAAGCGUUGUCCGGAUUUACUGGGUGUAAAGGGCGCGUAGGCGGGAUAGCAAGUCAGAUGUGAAAUGCCAGGGCUUAACUCUGGAGCUGCAUUUGAAACUGUUAUUCUUGAGUAUCGGAGAGGCAGGCGGAAUUCCUAGUGUAGCGGUGAAAUGCGUAGAUAUUAGGAGGAACACCAGUGGCGAAGGCGGCUUACUGGACGGUAACUGACGUUGAGGCUCGAAAGCGUGGGGAGC